This 926-nucleotide ribosomal RNA is filed under the name Salmonella enterica subsp. enterica serovar Kentucky. RNAcentral describes it as "bacterial LSU rRNA". It matches the Rfam family "Bacterial large subunit ribosomal RNA", at positions 646 to 1575 of the family's 2925-position model. The record is from RNAcentral. Lineage: Bacteria; Pseudomonadati; Pseudomonadota; Gammaproteobacteria; Enterobacterales; Enterobacteriaceae.
UUAACCGUAUAGGGGAGCCGGAGGGAAACCGAGUCUUAAUUGGGCGUUAAGUUGCAGGGUAUAGACCCGAAACCCGGUGAUCUAGCCAUGGGCAGGUUGAAGGUUGGGUAACACUAACUGGAGGACCGAACCGACUAAUGUUGAAAAAUUAGCGGAUGACCUGUGGCUGGGGGUGAAAGGCCAAUCAAACCGGGAGAUAGCUGGUUCUCCCCGAAAGCUAUUUAGGUAGCGCCUCGUGAAUUCAUCUCCGGGGGUAGAGCACUGUUUCGGCUAGGGGGCCAUCCCGGCUUACCAACCCGAUGCAAACUGCGAAUACCGGAGAAUGUUAUCACGGGAGACACACGGCGGGUGCUAACGUCCGUCGUGAAGAGGGAAACAACCCAGACCGCCAGCUAAGGUCCCAAAGUCAUGGUUAAGUGGGAAACGAUGUGGGAAGGCCCAGACAGCCAGGAUGUUGGCUUAGAAGCAGCCAUCAUUUAAAGAAAGCGUAAUAGCUCACUGGUCGAGUCGGCCUGCGCGGAAGAUGUAACGGGGCUAAACCAUGCACCGAAGCUGCGGCAGCGACGCUGAUGCGUUGUUGGGUAGGGGAGCGUUCUGUAAGCCUGUGAAGGUGGCCUGUGAGGGUUGCUGGAGGUAUCAGAAGUGCGAAUGCUGACAUAAGUAACGAUAAAGCGGGUGAAAAGCCCGCUCGCCGGAAGACCAAGGGUUCCUGUCCAACGUUAAUCGGGGCAGGGUGAGUCGACCCCUAAGGCGAGGCCGAAAGGCGUAGUCGAUGGGAAACGGGUUAAUAUUCCCGUACUUGGUGUUACUGCGAAGGGGGGACGGAGAAGGCUAUGUUGGCCGGGCGACGGUUGUCCCGGUUUAAGCGUGUAGGCUGGUUUUCCAGGCAAAUCCGGAAAAUCAAGGCUGAGGCGUGAUGACGAGGC